AAAUUGAUCUCUCUGGCAAGC
This 21-nucleotide non-coding RNA is filed under the name Mus musculus (house mouse). Lineage: Eukaryota; Metazoa; Chordata; Mammalia; Rodentia; Muridae. The record is from RNAcentral.